CCUACGGGUGGCAGCAGUGGGGAAUAUUGGGCAAUGGGCGCAAGCCUGACCCAGCAACGCCGCGUGAAGGAAGAAGGCUUUCGGGUUGUAAACUUCUUUUGUCAGGGACGUAGCAAGUGACGGUACCUGACGAAUAAGCCACGGCUAACUACGUGCCAGCACCCGCGGUAAUACGUAGGUGGCAAGCGUUAUCCGGAUUUACUGGGUGUAAAGGGCGUGUAGGCGGGGAAGCAAGUCAGAUGUGAAAACCACGGCCUCAACCUGUGGUCUGCAUUUGGAACUGUAUUUCUUGUGUGCGGGAAGGGCAAUCGGAAUGCCGGGUGUAGCGGUGAAAGGCGUAGAUAUACGGAGGAACACCAGUGGCGAAGGCGGAUUGCAGGACAGUAACGGACGCGGAGGCGCGAAAGCGUGGGGAGCAAACAGGAUUAGAUACCCCGGUAGU
RNAcentral lists this ribosomal RNA (442 nucleotides) under uncultured bacterium. RNAcentral describes it as "partial 16S ribosomal RNA". It matches the Rfam family "Bacterial small subunit ribosomal RNA", at positions 338 to 794 of the family's 1533-position model. The record is from RNAcentral.